Long non-coding RNA from Gallus gallus (chicken), 2681 nucleotides. The record is from Ensembl. NCBI's taxonomy places the organism in Eukaryota, Metazoa, Chordata, Aves, Galliformes, Phasianidae.
CUUGCCUUCCAGCCCUGCCAUGAGCAGCUCAUGCCCUUGUAGGUGAAGAUGGGACACUUCUGCAAUUCAAACUGAGCUUAUUGUCAGCCCAAGUAACUGCUCGAUCUUAUGAAUGCCAGCAUUACCUUCCGCUUCCUCCUGUCCAUGUCUGUCACACUAUCCAAAUGUAGGCAGCGAGGUCUGAGCACAGACUUCUCACGGCUGUGGCAGUGGCCCCAAGGCUCUGUGAGUCAGCACUACCACACACCGACUACCAAGACCCAACAUUUGGGUGUCACUCUGUUACUCUGGGUAUUGGUCCAUUGGUUUUAUGAUUACAUCUCUUCAGUUAUCAGAAAGCUGUUGUCCAGAGCAGCAUAAGCACAAGGGAAGGAAAACACAUACACUCUGCACUGGCUCUAGAGUAACAGCUCCUCCAUCAGCCUCAGUGUUGCAUCAGCUGGCUCUUACUUAUCUCCAUGACCUCCUGCUACUUGCCACUCUCUGUCACGAUUUUGGAACAGCAGAUGCAGAGAUUGGGUUCUGUGAUCCUAACAGGCUUCGAGCCUUUUAACCUCAAGCACUGUUUGUUUUGCUUGGCACGUCCUCUAUGACUGAACAAGAAUGGGACUGGCUCUCCAGAGAAGCCUCGUGGUUAGCUGCUUCCGACCAGAGCCUGGAAGUGACAGUGAUCCUGCCUCACCCCACAGACCUCUGACAGUCCUGCCUGGAGAAGCUGCACAGCUGCCUGACUACAGCCCAGCUCUUUCUCCCACGUACAGCCUGCAGGAACACCACAAGGAAUGACCCAACACUGAAUUACCCUGACCCCCACAGCUUAAGGUUGAAGACCUACUGCAGGACAGGCAUAUGAAAGCCAUAUAUGAUAUCUUAAGUCAUGCUGAAGAGACAUCCUCCUGAGUCACUGACCACCUUCUGGUCUGCAUGGAGAUCACUGCACAGCUGGCAUCAGUUUUUGCACUGCCAGGGAGGGCCCAGCAGCAUCUGGGCAGUGGGGAUGUUGCCUAUUCUGGCAUUCAAUUCAGCAAGGCCCAGGCUGUGCAUGCUGGGCAGCCCCUCAUGCUGAUGCCAACCUGGCUGCACCGUGCCAAGGCUGCCCCCUCAGCGUGCAUGUGGGAAAAACACAGCACACCCACACUCAGAGUCCCAGGCUCCAGUCCCAGCUGAGUCAAUUCGGCCCCAUGUUUUUGCAGAGAAGAUAUGUGGAAUCUGAUUGGGCUUAUCACGUGUGUACAGGGCAGGGAGUGGCUCUUUGACUUCAAAGAACAGAUAAGGCCAUCAAAGUAAUUGCCAUCUUUAAACACUGUCUACUUACUCACCAGAUCACCACUGAAUUCAGACUCCAAGCCUCUCACUCCAGUAACCAAGUGGAUGCAAUUACUGCUUGCUGCUCCUGUUUUAGCUUGCAGAGUCAGCGCCGCCCUGGGGAGAAGAGAGUCAUCAGGAAUGACUUUCUGCUUAAGGAUCAGCAGCUCCCUGGCUAGAAACUUUGCCUGAGAUACAACAUGAUAUAAUGCCCACUGCCUGGGUAUCAUGAGCCCCCCAUGGGGCUGCAAGCAUCGGGCUGCCUGCGCUGGGAGCAGGGACUGCCUCCCCUUCUGCUCCCUGCAUCGCACUCCUAUGUUUGGGAAGUAAACGUGCUGUGUUAGGUCAUGGAGUGGGCCUGAACUGAGAAAACAAUGACUUGGAAAAAGGGAAGUCCUGUUUAGCCCCAGGGGCCUGUUCCUACAGAGCAAGUACAAGAGAGCACAGCAAGCAGGAGAGAUGACGGGUUCCCCACCCUGAGAACUGGAGAUGGGAGUCACCAUCUUGGAGGAGCUGGGAUGCCAGAGGAGAGGCAGAGGUGGAUGAAAACAAAGUGAACUUUGUGGCUGACUCAGGGCAAGAGACAGCCUUCUGUCAAGGGCUCUGCUUCACCCAGAACCACCUUGCUAGGACUCAGAUGGAAAGAAUUUCACUUGCGGGCAGCAGAGCAAGGCAGAUACGCUAUCUCAGCACCCCACCCCAUCCCUCACUGGGCUUGUCUCAGGUUUUGAUAUGCAGUGUGCAAAUCUGGAAUGCACACAUAAAUAAAUGUCAAAUUCUCAGAUGUAUUGUCAGCCUUAAAGAAAAUAAGCAGACUUAAUUAAAAAUCCCACUGUUGCUUUUACUCAUGACCUGAGUCACAUCUACAGCCUUACUGCUAUUUGAAUGUGUAACACACGCAUAGAAAUGCAACCAGUACUUAUCAACUCUGAGAAGCCAGGAAGAUGACUAUGCCAGUAUUUGAGAAAAUCACCCAGAAGCUGCAGCAACAAGAGGUUCAACACCUCUGCAGAUUCCCUGUGCGAUAUACUUUAAGUGAUACAUAGAUUGCAAUUUCUUAAAACUACAAAAUGCCACAAAAUCUUUUCCCAUGUUUCUCAUCCAAUACAUUGUGCUGUAUUUCAAAUAAUUUUCUUCAGCAGGUGACAGCACAGACCCAUACAGAUCCAGAUGUCCAAUCAUAAAAACCGACUCAUAGAAGGCUGACACAUAAAACCCCUGAAAACAAAUUCCAUUUGUCCAAGUUGACAUUCCUGAUGCCUAUUUGGUUUCCGUGCGCUGCAGCUCCCCUAUUUCUGACCCCCGAAAUGCAGCACUCCUGCCUGGUGCUCAGUGGUGGGAAUGUCAGCUCUGAGCACUAACAUGCAGGAUGCCCU